GCGCUUACCUCUUAGGGUUUCCUCUGGGGUAAGUGAUUGCUUCUACACUGUGAAAAUUUGGCUGAGAGACUCAGACUGGUCAUGGGUAGACCUAUCUGGGGUUUGAUCGAUGCCACUCCUGGUUUCAGGAGCACCCUUCAUAAUAAACCUAGAAAUUCAGUAUUAUAAAGUUUAAUAAAAAACAACUUUUAACAAUGGAUCUCUUGGUUCUCGCAUCGAUGAAGAACGUAGCAAAGUGCGAUAACUAGUGUGAAUUGCAUAUUCAGUGAAUCAUCGAGUCUUUGAACGCAGCUUGCACUCUAUGGUUUUUCUAUAGAGUACGCCUGCUUCAGUAUCAUCACAAACCCACACAUAACAUUUGUUUAUGUGGUAAUGGGUCGCAUCGCUGUUUUAUUACAGUGAGCACCUAAAAUGUGUGUGAUUUUCUGUCUGGCUUGCUAGGCAGGAAUAUUACGCUGGUCUCAGGAUCUUUUUCUUUGGUUCGCCCAGGAAGUAAAGUACAAGAGUAUAAUCCAGCAACUUUCAAACUAUGAUCUGAAGUCAGGUGGGAUUACCCGCUGAACUUAAGCAUAUCAAUAAGCGGAGGAAAAGAAAAUAACAAUGAUUUCCCUAGUAACGGCGAGUGAAGAGGAAAGAGCUCAAAGUUGGAACCUGUUUGGCCUAGCUAAACCGGAUUGUAGACUGUAGAAGUGUUUUCCAGGCAAGCCGAGUAAAUAAGUCCUUUGGAACAGGGCAUCAUAGAGGGUGAGAAUCCCGUCUUUGGCUUGAGCAUUUGCCUUUUGUGAUACGCUUUCAAAGAGUCAGGUUGUUUGGGAAUGCAGCCUAAAUUGGGUGGUAAAUCUCACCUAAAGCUAAAUAUUGGCGAGAAACCGAUAGCGAACAAGUACCGUGAGGGAAAGAUGAAAAGAACUUUGAAAAGAGAGUUAAACAGUAUGUGAAAUUGUUAAAAGGGAACCGUUUGGAGCCAGACUGGCUUGUCUGUAAUCAAUCUAGGCUUCGGCCUGGAUGCACUUGCAGGCUAUGCCUGCCAACGACAAUUUGACUUGAGGGAAAAAACUAAGGGAAAUGUGGCCCACUUGUGGGUGUUAUAGUCCCUUAGAAAAUACCUUGGGUUGGAUUGAGGAACGCAGCGAAUGCUUUUUGGCGAGUUUUCCAGGAAGGUUUUCUGAGGUACUACGGUAUCAAGGUUGAUCUUUUUGGUUAUACUUCUAU
This 1212-nucleotide ribosomal RNA is filed under the name Rhizopus arrhizus. RNAcentral's name for it is "eukaryotic LSU rRNA". The stretch from base 531 to 1212 matches the Rfam family "Eukaryotic large subunit ribosomal RNA", at positions 1 to 601 of the family's 3401-position model. The record is from RNAcentral. Lineage: Eukaryota; Fungi; Mucoromycota; Mucoromycetes; Mucorales; Rhizopodaceae.